Molecule: transfer RNA, 71 nt
Organism: Camelus ferus (Wild Bactrian camel)
Lineage: Eukaryota; Metazoa; Chordata; Mammalia; Artiodactyla; Camelidae
Rfam family: tRNA
About the family: Transfer RNA (tRNA) molecules are approximately 80 nucleotides in length. Their secondary structure includes four short double-helical elements and three loops (D, anti-codon, and T loops).
Source: Rfam
GAGGGUAGAGCUCAGUGGUAAAGCGUGUGCUUAGCAUGCAUGAGGUCCUGGGUUUAAUCCGAGUACCUCCA